Molecule: ribosomal RNA, 546 nt
Filed under: Parlibellus sp.
Lineage: Eukaryota; Bacillariophyta; Bacillariophyceae; Naviculales; Stauroneidaceae
Description: LSU rRNA
Rfam family: Eukaryotic large subunit ribosomal RNA
Source: RNAcentral
AGCAUAUAAUUAAGCGGAGGAAAAGAAACUAACCAGGAUUCCCUUAGUAACGGCGAGUGAACCGGGAGGAGCCCAUACGAAAUCAAUGUCUUUGGCAUUGAAUUGUGGUGUGUAGACGCUUGCGUUAACGGCCUGGCCAAGUCCUUUGGAAUGAGGCAGCUUAGAGGGUGACACUCCCGUUGGCCGGGCUGUAUGAGCGAGUUGUCCAAGAGUCGAGUUGUUUGGGAUUGCAGCUCAAAGUGGGUGGUAAAUUCCAUCUAAGGCUAAAUACUGGUGGGAGACCGAUAGCGCACAAGUACCGUGAGGGAAAGAUGCAAAGAACUUUGAAAAGAGAGUUAAAGAGUACCUGAAAUUGCUGGAAAGGAAGCGAAGGAAACCAGUGCUAGGUGAAUCAUACUUCCUUGGUCGCUUGCGGCCGGGGCGCUGUGGCCACCGUUGCCAGACUUGGUUGGAAGGGUAGGAAGUGUGGUCGGGGAGUUUCGACCCGGCCAUGUCGCUAUCCUUGUGACGAAUGUCUGGGGAAAUGGUUUUCUUUUUCCCGUCUUG